GGUUUUGAGUUUAGUGGUUAGCACGUUCGCCUCACAAAUCCAGGGUCCGGGGUUCGAUUCCCGCCGGGGCCA
Ameiurus melas (black bullhead) is the source of this 72-nucleotide non-coding RNA. The record is from the annotation of a GenBank genome assembly. Lineage: Eukaryota; Metazoa; Chordata; Actinopteri; Siluriformes; Ictaluridae.